GACGAACGCUGGCGGCGUGCUUAACACAUGCAAGUCGAACGGAAAGGCCCUGCUUUUGUGGGGUGCUCGAGUGGCGAACGGGGGAGUAACACGUGAGUAACCUGCCCUUGACUUUGGGAUAACUUCAGGAAACUGGGGCUAAUACCGGAUAGGAGCUCCUGCUGCAUGGUGGGGGUUGGAAAGUUUCGGCGGUUGGGGAUGGACUCGCGGCUUAUCAGCUUGUUGGUGGGGUAGUGGCUUACCAAGGCUUUGACGGGUAGCCGGCCUGAGCGGGUGACCGGCCACAUUGGGCCUGAGAUGCGGCCCAGACUCCUCCGGGAGGCAGCAGUGGGGAAUAUUGCACAAUGGGCGGAAGCCUGAUGCAGCAACGCCGCGUGCGGGAUGACGGCCUUCGGGUUGUAAUCCGCUUUCGCCUGUGACGAAGCGUGAGUGACGGUAAUGGGUAAAGAAGCACCGGCUAACUACGUG
Molecule: ribosomal RNA, 468 nt
Filed under: uncultured bacterium
Lineage: Bacteria
Description: partial 16S ribosomal RNA
Rfam family: Bacterial small subunit ribosomal RNA
Source: RNAcentral